This 242-nucleotide ribosomal RNA is filed under the name uncultured bacterium. Its description in RNAcentral is "partial 16S ribosomal RNA". It matches the Rfam family "Bacterial small subunit ribosomal RNA", at positions 15 to 254 of the family's 1533-position model. The record is from RNAcentral.
GAUCAUGGCUCAGGACGAACGCUGGCGGCGUGCCUAACACAUGCAAGUCGAACGGAAGUUAGAGCUUCGGUUUUAACUUUAGUUGGCGAACGGGUGAGUAACGCGUGAGGAACCUGCCUUUCAGUGGGGGACAACAGUUGGAAACGACUGCUAAUACCGCAUGAUGCUUUUGGGAGACAUCUCCUGGAAGCCAAAGCUUUAUGUGCUGAAAGAUGGCCUCGCGUCUGAUUAGCUAGUUGGUG